GAUGAACGCUGGCGGCGUGCCUAAUACAUGCAAGUCGAGCGAACGGACGAGAAGCUUGCUUCUCUGAUGUUAGCGGCGGACGGGUGAGUAACACGUGGAUAACCUACCUAUAAGACUGGGAUAACUUCGGGAAACCGGAGCUAAUACCGGAUAAUAUUUUGAACCGCAUGGUUCAAAAGUGAAAGACGGUCUUGCUGUCACUUAUAGAUGGAUCCGCGCUGCAUUAGCUAGUUGGUAAGGUAACGGCUUACCAAGGCAACGAUGCAUAGCCGACCUGAGAGGGUGAUCGGCCACACUGGAACUGAGACACGGUCCAGACUCCUACGGGAGGCAGCAGUAGGGAAUCUUCCGCAAUGGGCGAAAGCCUGACGGAGCAACGCCGCGUGAGUGAUGAAGGUCUUCGGAUCGUAAAACUCUGUUAUUAGGGAAGAACAUAUGUGUAAGUAACUGUGCACAUCUUGACGGUACCUAAUCAGAAAGCCACGGCUAACUACGUGCCAGCAGCCGCGGUAAUACGUAGGUGGCAAGCGUUAUCCGGAAUUAUUGGGCGUAAAGCGCGCGUAGGCGGUUUUUUAAGUCUGAUGUGAAAGCCCACGGCUCAACCGUGGAGGGUCAUUGGAAACUGGAAAACUUGAGUGCAGAAGAGGAAAGUGGAAUUCCAUGUGUAGCGGUGAAAUGCGCAGAGAUAUGGAGGAACACCAGUGGCGAAGGCGACUUUCUGGUCUGUAACUGACGCUGAUGUGCGAAAGCGUGGGGAUCAAACAGGAUUAGAUACCCUGGUAGUCCACGCCGUAAACGAUGAGUGCUAAGUGUUAGGGGGUUUCCGACCCUUAGUGCUGCAGCUAACGCAUUAAGCACUCCGCCUGGGGAGUACGACCGCAAGGUUGAAACUCAAAGGAAUUGACGGGGACCCGCACAAGCGGUGGAGCAUGUGGUUUAAUUCGAAGCAACGCGAAGAACCUUACCAAAUCUUGACAUCCUUUGACAACUCUAGAGAUAGAGCCUUCCCCUUCGGGGGACAAAGUGACAGGUGGUGCAUGGUUGUCGUCAGCUCGUGUCGUGAGAUGUUGGGUUAAGUCCCGCAACGAGCGCAACCCUUAAGCUUAGUUGCCAUCAUUAAGUUGGGCACUCUAAGUUGACUGCCGGUGACAAACCGGAGGAAGGUGGGGAUGACGUCAAAUCAUCAUGCCCCUUAUGAUUUGGGCUACACACGUGCUACAAUGGACAAUACAAAGGGCAGCGAAACCGCGAGGUCAAGCAAAUCCCAUAAAGUUGUUCUCAGUUCGGAUUGUAGUCUGCAACUCGACUACAUGAAGCUGGAAUCGCUAGUAAUCGUAGAUCAGCAUGCUACGGUGAAUACGUUCCCGGGUCU
RNAcentral lists this ribosomal RNA (1372 nucleotides) under uncultured bacterium. RNAcentral describes it as "bacterial SSU rRNA". It matches the Rfam family "Bacterial small subunit ribosomal RNA", at positions 28 to 1381 of the family's 1533-position model. The record is from RNAcentral.